Homo sapiens (human) is the source of this 2818-nucleotide RNA transcript. It is a transcript of the gene named nudix hydrolase 15, with no coding region annotated. The record is from RefSeq and is marked reviewed. The transcript is spliced from 5 exons. NCBI's taxonomy places the organism in Eukaryota, Metazoa, Chordata, Mammalia, Primates, Hominidae.
AGGCGCGUCCUCCCGCGCGCUAUGACGGCCAGCGCACAGCCGCGCGGGCGGCGGCCAGGAGUCGGAGUCGGAGUCGUGGUGACCAGCUGCAAGCAUCCGCGUUGCGUCCUCCUGGGGAAGAGGAAAGGCUCGGUUGGAGCUGGCAGUUUCCAACUCCCUGGAGGUCAUCUGGAGUUCGGUGAAACCUGGGAAGAAUGUGCUCAAAGGGAAACCUGGGAAGAAGCAGCUCUUCACCUGAAAAAUGUUCACUUUGCCUCAGUUGUGAAUUCUUUCAUUGAGAAGGAGAAUUACCAUUAUGUUACUAUAUUAAUGAAAGGAGAAGUGGAUGUGACUCAUGAUUCAGAACCAAAGAAUGUAGAGCCUGAAAAAAAUGAAAGUUGGGAGUGGGUUCCUUGGGAAGAACUACCUCCCCUGGACCAGCUUUUCUGGGGACUGCGUUGUUUAAAAGAACAAGGCUAUGAUCCAUUUAAAGAAGAUCUGAACCAUCUGGUGGGAUACAAAGGAAAUCAUCUCUAGGUGGCCGAGAAGAUUUGAUUUUCUUUAAAAAGACAAGAAUAAGGGUCUCACUCUGUCAACCAGGCUGGAGUGCAGUGGUGCAAUCUCGGCUCACUGCAACCUCCAGCUCCCAGGCUCAAGGGAUCCUCUUGCCUCGGCCUCCUGAGUACCUGGGAUUACAGAUUCACUUUCUACCUAUUCUUGGAUGACUCCCCAAACAAUAUUAUCUACAGCCCAGAUGUUUCUAAGCUCCAGGCCCCACCGCACACCAGGCAUCUCUACUUGAUUGUCCACAUCCUUCUGGCUUGCUGUGUUUCAGACUGAACUUCCUCCUAUUCUUCUCAGAGAAGGGCUCUACCAUCUGCUGAAUUGCUCAAAUUUGAUUCCCUUCCCCGCAUCCAGCAGUUGCUCUUUCUUGUCCAUUCUGUUUCUUGUCUCUUGAAUCCACCCCCAUCACAUGGUCCCACCUGCCUCUCCCCUAGGCCAGGCCCGUGCCACCUUUUCCCCAGACUCUUCCUGCAGCUUUACUCCGCCAAUCAACUGAAUGGCUUAUUUUUAUUCUUGUGGUAAAAUACACGUAACAUAAAACUUACCAUCUUAACCCUCCAAUUCAUUUUUGACAUUACUCCUGGAGUGACUUUUCAAAGCAUAAAUUUAGUUAUGUCUCAUCUUCCCAAACGUCUUUGGAAGUUCCCAUCACCUGUAGAAUAAAAUCCCUAACCUGACGUAUGAGCUUUCCUAAUUUCCCUGGACUAAUUUUCUCAUUAUAUCACACCCUGCUGUUGCACCCUGCACUCUCAGCAUCUUUGUGCUUCAUCCAGUGCAACAGGCUGGUUCCUACCUCCUUGCCAGUGCGCCUGCAGCUCCUUCUGAACUGAAUGCGACACCCACCUUCAAUGUGCCUUAACAGAUCCUUACUAGUUUUUCGUACCUUAGUUCAAGGUUCCUUCCUCUGUGAAACCUGGACUCACCCAAUUGGACCUUGACAUAUCUCACCUUACACCAUUUCUACUGUAUGUUGACUUCAGAGGUAGCGCUUGAUUUCAUAAGGCCCUAGGCUUAAAUGAGACAUGUCACAAGUUGUGUUCUUCCAAAGCCGCCCAUUUUUGUCUUUUUGAAUAGCAUGGUUUAAAUUUCUAAUGGGUUGAAUUCACCUCUGAUGCAUUUGUGAAGCAAUAAGUUAAAUUCUGCAGAUAAAAUGCCCGCAAGUCAGCCUCCUCCUUCAAAAUGGCUGAAGACAAGUAUACAUCAAUAUUGUAGUUUUCAUAAGUGCUAUUCAUGUGAAUGAAAAGGAAAUAUGUUCACCUUUCAGGGAUCACAUGUGACUCUGGAAGGGUAUUUUCUGUGGCUGAGCACAGCUUUGAUUAUUUGAGGAUUUAGGUCUGAUGCAUCUGAUAAGGCUGCCAGUACUUGUAUAUUAUGGAAGAUGUCAUGUUGAUUUCUAUUGAUUGCUUGUCUCCCCAGUAGAAAGUAAACUCCUUUAGACUAAAGACCAUGUCUUUCUAUUAUAUACCUAGCAGCCAGAGUGGUAACUGCUAAUGCUAAAUGCCUAAUAUAUACUAGCUGAAUGAAAAAAGUGACCUUUUAGUAUUUCUUUUUCUUAACUUUUUCUUUUUCUGGGUCAGAAAGAAAACAAGUAGUAUUGAGGAUCCUCAGAAUAGGAAAUGCAAAUACUGCAUUCCAAUUAUUGGCAGGGACAUGAAGAAUAUCUGUUUCUAUAGUAAGGAGGAGUUAGGGUCCAAAAUAGAAACAGAAGUGAUACUCUGGCUAAAGAUGUACACAAAGUUCACAACUGGGUAAGGAAGCUGAAAUCCAAAUGCCAAUUUACUAAUGUGAGGAAAAAUGAGGGUAACUUACUAUGUUGUAGGGGAAAUUAUUAAGUAACAUGCAUGUGAAAUGUACCUUAUAACAGGUUCUGUAUUUUUAAAGGGAUAUAAUUAUGUGUUCAUGCAUAUUUGAGAAUUUUAUUAUGUUGUGUUUUAUUAGUGGAAAUAAAUCAGUAGAAUUAGAUAAACCUGACUCACACAAUAAGAUGUUUCAAUCAACAAGAUACUUGGGAUGCAGAGAAAGUGACUAUUUAGGUAAGAUAUUCUUGCAACCCCAAGAGAGGUAAACCAGACCACAGGUGGAAGUCUGUCAAGUAGGAGCCAUGAACUGCCUUGAGGGAGUUGGAAGCAGCUUUAAGACAGUAUGAAGAAGGGCUCAACUUGUCCACAAAAUGUUUUAGGUCUACCAGUUUGAGAACUGCAGGACACACACCUGCACUUUGUUCCUCCCUCUGUUGUUGCCAUUGGUGAAAAUAAACCAAGUGCUCUCGACCACA